UCUACACAGGGUGAUGGAAUAUGAGACCUGCCCUUCCCGCAGAAGAGGUCCACCAGAAAAGGAGGACCUCAACUAUUAAGGGAAAUUUUACUUUUAGAUUAUGCAGAUUGAAGACACUGAUUCUCAUUUCCUCCAACUCAAGUAAGGGAUUUCUUGAAGGAAGUCCCCUGUCAAAUAUGUUGCAAAAUUAUAGGCAAGCAAAAAGAGCCAAAAAUAAAUUACAACAAUGGCA
RNAcentral lists this unclassified non-coding RNA (232 nucleotides) under Hevea brasiliensis (rubber tree). Lineage: Eukaryota; Viridiplantae; Streptophyta; Magnoliopsida; Malpighiales; Euphorbiaceae. The record is from RNAcentral.